Non-coding RNA from Struthio camelus australis, 190 nucleotides. Lineage: Eukaryota; Metazoa; Chordata; Aves; Struthioniformes; Struthionidae. The record is from RefSeq and is a predicted model, not a curated record.
ACAUGGAGACGACCUGAUCGUCACACCUUUUGCACAGGUCCUGGCAAGUUUACGAAGUGUGAGAAACAACUUUACAUUGCUUACCAAUUUGCACGGCACAUCGAACAAGCCUUGGUUGCCCUUGAUAACUGCUGCGCUCUGGUCCCGGACCUGCGGUGGAAAUGCGUGUGCGGAGACCCCAGGCUCCUGG